Bos indicus x Bos taurus (hybrid cattle) is the source of this 58-nucleotide microRNA precursor. NCBI's taxonomy places the organism in Eukaryota, Metazoa, Chordata, Mammalia, Artiodactyla, Bovidae. The record is from Ensembl.
CUGAGUCCGGUGGGGCAGUGUGUACCAGUAGGUGACGCAGCCCCUCCGUCUGACUCAG